UCACCCACGUCGCUGUUGCAGGAUCUUCAUCCGUCAUCCUGAGCAAUUGGGGCGGCGAUGCGGGCGAGCUUCACGAUAGUGGGGAGGACCAGGCCGCGGUGAAGGCAGGUCAUGCGCUCCUCACGCUCCACGAACGGAACCUGCGCACGGAGGCGGUAGCGCGGGGUGGCAGCCGGCAAUGAGGCGGCCGCGCUACGUGACGAGCUACGGGUCCCCCUUUGUGAUGUUUUGGCAUCGCUCCUUCAUCGCACAUCCUCAGGUACGUCAAUUCACUUCCUUCCCUUCCCUUCGUCCCUCGGUCCCACGCUCGUGGCGCUGAAGUGGUGGCAACAGGCGAUGGCGGUGGUGUCGCUGAUGGCGACGAGGACAGCAUGUGGCAGCUCCCGAAGCAUGAACACGACCGCACCUCGGGCCUGCCGUCUGCCAAGAUAUGGCUCUGGCCGAUUGACAAUGGAGGUUUGGGAUCCUUCCUCUCAGCACCCACUCCUGGAAGAAUCAGCGGUGCGCCACGCCGAUUGAACCCCGUCGAGAUCACUCGCCAAGAUUGCUAUUCUGAAGUUUAUUGUAAAGAAAGUGAAGAGUGAGACAGGAUCCGUUUAUUUUCAACCGGUUUAUUUUCAACUGGUUUAUUUCCAUCAAAU
Triticum dicoccoides is the source of this 641-nucleotide long non-coding RNA. RefSeq lists it as uncharacterized. NCBI's taxonomy places the organism in Eukaryota, Viridiplantae, Streptophyta, Magnoliopsida, Poales, Poaceae. The record is from RefSeq and is a predicted model, not a curated record. The transcript is spliced from 3 exons.